UGGGGUAUUUUGCGCAAUGGGGGAAACCCUGACGCAGCAACGCCGCGUGAGUGAUGAAGGCCUUCGGGUCGUAAAGCUCUGUCAGAGGGGAAGAAAUGCAGGGGUGCUAAUAUCAUCUUUGCUUGACGGUACCCUCAAAGGAAGCACCGGCUAACUCCGUGCCAGCAGCCGCGGUAAUACGGAGGGUGCGAGCGUUGUUCAGAAUUAUUGGGCGUAAAGCGCGUGUAGGCGGUUUGAUAAGUCUGAUGUGAAAGCCCCGGGCUCAACCUGGGAAGUGCAUUGGAAACUGUCAGACUUGAAUACGGGAGAGGGUAGUGGAAUUCCUAGUGUAGGAGUGAAAUCCGUAGAUAUUAGGAGGAACACCGGUGGCGAAGGCGGCUACCUGGACCGAUAUUGACGCUGAGACGCGAAAGCGUGGGGAGCAAACAG
This 429-nucleotide ribosomal RNA is filed under the name uncultured bacterium. Its description in RNAcentral is "bacterial SSU rRNA". It matches the Rfam family "Bacterial small subunit ribosomal RNA", at positions 355 to 775 of the family's 1533-position model. The record is from RNAcentral.